RNAcentral lists this ribosomal RNA (910 nucleotides) under uncultured bacterium. RNAcentral's name for it is "bacterial SSU rRNA". It matches the Rfam family "Bacterial small subunit ribosomal RNA", at positions 94 to 991 of the family's 1533-position model. The record is from RNAcentral.
AGCGGCGAACGGGUGAGUAACACGUGGAUAAUCUGCCCUUCAGUGGGGGAUAACGGCUGGAAACGGCCGCUAAUACCGCAUUCGGUUGUCGGGUCUUUGGGCCUGGCAAAGAAAGGAGCUUCAAAGCUUCGCUGGAGGAUGAGUCCGCGCCCCAUUAGCUAGUUGGCGGGAUAAUAGCCCACCAAGGCAACGAUGGGUAGCCGAGCUGAGAGGUUGAUCGGCCACACUGGGACUGAGACACGGCCCAGACACCUACGGGUGGCAGCAGUAGGGAAUCUUGGACAAUGGGCGAAAGCCUGAUCCAGCCAUGCCGCGUGGAUGAUGAAGGCCUUCGGGUCGUAAAGUCCUUUUCUAGGAGAAGGACAGCAGGGGGAGGAAAUGCUCCCUGUCUGACGGUACCCUAGGAAUAAGCAACGGCUAACUCCGUGCCAGCAGCCGCGGUAAUACGGAGGUUGCAAGCGUUGUUCGGAAUAACUGGGCGUAAAGGGAGCGCAGGCGGUUCGGUAAGUCUGAAGUGAAAUCCCAGAGCUCAACUCUGGACCUGCUUCGGAUACUGCCGAGCUUGAGUACGUGAGAGGAGAGUGGAAUUCCAGGUGUAGCGGUGAAAUGCGUAGAUAUCUGGAGGAACACCAGUGGCGAAAGCGGCUCUCUGGCACGUUACUGACGCUGAGGCUCGAAAGCGUGGGGAGCAAACGGGAUUAGAUACCCCGGUAGUCCACGCCGUAAACGUUGUGCGCUAGGUGUAGGAGGUAUCGACCCCUUCUGUGCCGCAGCUAACGCAUUAAGCGCACCGCCUGGGGAGUACGCCCGCAGGUGAAACUCAAGGAAUUGACGGGGGCCCGCACAAGCGGUGGAGCAUGUGGUUUAAUUCGAGGCAACGCGAAGAACCUUACCCAGGCUUGACAUCCCA